CACGUGGAUAACCUACCUAUAAGACUGGGAUAACUUCGGGAAACCGGAGCUAAUACCGGAUAACAUAUUGAACCGCAUGGUUCAAUAGUGAAAGGCGGCUUUGCUGUCACUUAUAGAUGGAUCCGCGCCGUAUUAGCUAGUUGGUAAGGUAACGGCUUACCAAGGCAACGAUACGUAGCCGACCUGAGAGGGUGAUCGGCCACACUGGAACUGAGACACGGUCCAA
Molecule: ribosomal RNA, 226 nt
Filed under: uncultured bacterium
Lineage: Bacteria
Description: partial 16S ribosomal RNA
Rfam family: Bacterial small subunit ribosomal RNA
Source: RNAcentral